RNAcentral lists this ribosomal RNA (253 nucleotides) under uncultured bacterium. Its description in RNAcentral is "partial 16S ribosomal RNA". It matches the Rfam family "Bacterial small subunit ribosomal RNA", at positions 524 to 776 of the family's 1533-position model. The record is from RNAcentral.
UACGAAGGGGGCUAGCGUUGUUCGGAAUUACUGGGCGUAAAGCGUGCGCAGGCGGUUUGCUAAGACAGGUGUGAAAUCCCCGGGCUUAACCUGGGAACUGCGCUUGUUACUGGCAAGCUAGAGUGUGGCAGAGGGGGGUGGAAUUCCAGGUGUAGCAGUGAAAUGCGUAGAGAUCUGGAGGAACACCGAUGGCGAAGGCAGCCCCCUGGGCUAGCACUGACGCUCAGGCACGAAAGCGUGGGGAGCAAACAGG